This 797-nucleotide ribosomal RNA is filed under the name uncultured Glomus. Its description in RNAcentral is "SSU rRNA". It matches the Rfam family "Eukaryotic small subunit ribosomal RNA", at positions 314 to 1114 of the family's 1831-position model. The record is from RNAcentral. Lineage: Eukaryota; Fungi; Glomeromycota; Glomeromycetes; Glomerales; Glomeraceae.
AUCAACUUUCGAUGGUAGGAUAGAGGCCUACCAUGGUGGUAACGGGUAACGGGGUGUUAGGGCACGACACCGGAGAGGGAGCCUGAGAAACGGCUACCACAUCCAAGGAUGGCAGCAGGCGCGCAAAUUACCCAAUCCCGACACGGGGAGGUAGUGACAAUAAAUAACAAUACGGGGUUCUUUCGGAUCUCGUAAUUGGAAUGAGUACAAUUUAAAUCUCUUAACGAGGAACAAUUGGAGGGCAAGUCUGGUGCCAGCAGCCGCGGUAAUUCCAGCUCCAAUAGCGUAUAUUAAAGUUGUUGCAGUUAAAAAGCUCGUAGUUGAAUUUCGGGACCAAUUUGUUGGUCGUGCCUCGGUACGUACUGGUAUUAUUGGUUUCUACCUUCUGAAGAACCUUGAUGUCAUUAAUUUGGUGUCUUGGGGAAUCAGGACUGUUACUUUGAAAAAAUUAGAGUGUUUAAAGCAAGCAUACGCUUGAAUACAUUAGCAUGGAAUAAUGAAAUAGGACGUUUGAUUCUAUUUUGUUGGUUUCUAGGAUCGACGUAAUGAUUAAUAGGGAUAGUUGGGGGCAUUAGUAUUCAAUUGUCAGAGGUGAAAUUCUUGGAUUUAUUGAAGACUAACUACUGCGAAAGCAUUUGCCAAGGAUGUUUUCAUUAAUCAAGAACGAAAGUUAGGGGAUCGAAGACGAUCAGAUACCGUCGUAGUCUUAACCAUAAACUAUGCCGACUAGGGAUCGGAUGAUGUUAAUUUUUUAAUGACUCAUUCGGCGCCUUACGGAAACCAAAGUGUUUGGGUUC